This is a non-coding RNA of Doryrhamphus excisus (bluestripe pipefish), 5616 nucleotides long. The record is from RefSeq and is a predicted model, not a curated record. Lineage: Eukaryota; Metazoa; Chordata; Actinopteri; Syngnathiformes; Syngnathidae.
CCGUCUGUGUACUUCCGGGUCAAGUGUUCGACUGAGACAGUGACCGGUGUGCUGUUGGGGCAUACGUGUCUUUCGCCGUCCUAUUGUGUUGCUGAGGAUCGGUGGUGGUGCUGGUGGUCUGGGUGGCGGUAUCCCCUCCUUCCGUGUGCGGUACUCCUCUGGGAUUGGUUUUCUUUGCACAACCCUGUAUUGGAGAGCUUGGAGACAAAGCAGCGGUAAUUCUCAAGCUGAUGCCCCACUGUGGAGUGUUGGUGGUAAAGGACCCCCCUGAUGGUGCACCUGCCCGGGUGCCUGGUGUUUUAGGGAUGAAUGUGAUGCGCAAGUGUUACCACGAGCUUUUUGUGCAACAUGGCGCUACUUUGUUUUCGCAGCCUUGUGUUUUGGAGGCCCCCAGGCCUGUUAUGCAGGCCCUACAGCAGUGCCGCGUUGACAGCACUCGGACCCCUCGUGACGUUCCAGGACAAGUAAAGAUCAGAGAUUGGAGAGCUUGGAGACAAAGCAGCGGUAAUUCUCAGACGAUCCUUGUGACAGUCCUGGUGAGACUCUGUUUCAGCAGGUUCGUUUUUUUUUUUGUGGUACUGUUGCGCCAUACUACCUGUAGUAUACUGAUUUCGCUGUAGUUAUGGAGGAAGAGAUUCAGGAACUCAGAAAUGUAAUUGCACAGUUAAAAGCUGACAAUGAGCGAUUGCAACAGGAACAGGCUGGGCCUAGUGCUCCUUCUACUUCUGCGCCACCUACUGUCCCCUCCACGUCUGUCUCUGUAUCAGAGAGACUCAUUUUUGUGCCUAGAGAUAGGAAGUGUCCAGUCUUUAGGGGUAGGGUAGGUAUAGGUUUGAGUGAGUGGAAAGAGGAGGUGCAGGCGUGUAUGAGAGCCCGGCAUCUAUCCCGGUCUGACCAGGCCUUCUUCUUGUUUGAUCACUUAGAGCAGGGGUCGGGAACCUUUUUGGCUACAAGAGCCAUGAAGACCAGAUAUUUUAAAAUGUGUAUCUGUGAGAGCCAUAUACAUUUUUUAAAACAUUGAAUGCAAUAAAAUGUGUGCAUUUUUAUGUAAGACCAACAGUUUUAGAUAUAAUGGGCUCUAAUUACGUAGACCAGGCACACUACCCCACGCCAAUGGGGUGUGGCCAGCACACUUUCGUGAGCAGCGCAGUGUCUAAUAAUAAAUCAAAUACUUGCUGCCAUUAAUGCAACUUCUGCUGCUGCAUAGUUUUGAACCGUAUUCAGUACACGUAUUUCAUUCUUUUGGCCAUCUUCGUCAAAAGGCUUGGUUCUGCAGCUUUAGCUAGGUGACUCUUUGACUAAAGGAGGAAAGUUUACAUUUACAUGUUUUUUUGACAUCGCAAUGACCGAGGUAGACUACCGCAUUACCCAGUAAUAAUCAAGUUUUGGUGUUUGACCUGGAAAAUAUCAUCAAAAAAGAUAGAUAUGGUCGCCAUAUUGCAGUAGAAAAUAGAUGGACGAAUUAAAAUGCAUAAGAAAGUUUUGAUUUUUAAUAUUAUUUUAACAGUGACUUCUGUGAUGUUUACUUUAAAAUGUUAGCAAACAUACAUUUUUAUUGUGGUAAAUGCUUGAGAGCCAGAUACAGUCAUCAAAAGAGCCCUACCUGGCUCCCGAGCCAUAGGUUCCCUACCUCUGACUUAGAGGGUGAGGCUAGAGAUGAGAUCAAGUAUCGCUCUAGCGUGGAGAGAGAGGAUCCCGAUCGCAUACUUGCCAUUUAACAGGAGCUGUACGGGUGGUCAGAUUCUUAUGUUGCACUGCAGGAGGCUUUCUUCUCUAGGAAGCAGACAGAGGGGGAGACUCUUCAAGAGUUUUCCCUCGCUUUGAUGGGUCUCAUGGAAAGGGUGAAGCAGCGUGCCCCGGCCGGUAUGUUGAACUCUGAAGUCCUCCUGAGGGACCAGUUUGUUGAGCAGGUGUUCAACAGUUCCCUGCGUCGUGAGCUGAAACAGUUGGUGCGUAGACAGCCUAAUUCCACUUUGCUUGAUGUUAGGGCAGAGGUGAUCCAGUGGGAGCGCGAAGGGUUACCUGGUGGCGCAAGAGGCCGUAGUCACUCCAUCCCCCUAAUGUUUGGUGUUCAGUAUGGGGUUCAUGGUGGUCCUCAGGUGUCUGUCCCCUCGUCUUCCGUAUCAGAGAUGAGUGAGAUGAAAGAAAUGCUAAACCGUCAGCAAGAGCAGCUCAAUCAGCUCACUGAGAGCCUUGCUCGGCUGCAGAAUCCCCAGCAGUACAACCGCCCACCGCGUACUGGCCCCAUAGUGUGCUUGCGCUGUAAUCAGCCUGGUCAUAUUGCCCGACAUUGUGAUGGAGCGCGUGUUUCUUCCCGCUCACAGGUCCCCUCCCGACCCCCUCCUACCCCUGGUAGGCAUUCCCACAACGCUCCGGUGUCGGAAAACUAGUGCCCACCGAACUGCGGAGCCACAGUUUGGGUGGGGCCGCCACUGGCUCACAGGAGGUUUCAGGUAGCUUUGAGUCUUCUAAGCUGAUUUCAUCUUGUCCCCAUUUAGAUGUGGACAUGGGUGGAGUUAAGGUUCCCUGUUUGGUAGACACGGGUUCCAUGGUCACCACGAUUUCUGAGGGCUUUUUCCGCCAGUAUUUCGAGCCGUGGGGUCAGGAGCGCCUGCGGUCGUGUCACUGGUUGGAGCUCAAGGCUGCUAAUGGUUUGGCUAUCCCCUAUCUGGGCUACCUAGAGCUUGAGGUGGAGCUUUGUGGUAAGCUGAUGCCCCACUGUGGAGUGUUGGUGGUAAAGGACCCCCCUGAUGGUGCACCUGCCCGGGUGCCUGGUGUUUUAGGGAUGAAUGUGAUGCGCAAGUGUUACCACGAGCUUUUUGUGCAACAUGGCGCUACUUUGUUUUCGCAGCCUUGUGUUUUGGAGGCCCCCAGGCCUGUUAUGCAGGCCCUACAGCAGUGCCGCGUUGACAGCACUCGGACCCCUCGUGACGUUCCAGGACAAGUAAAGAUCAGAGAUUGGAGAGCUUGGAGACAAAGCAGCGGUAAUUCUCAGACGAUCCUUGUGACAGUCCUGGUGAGACUCUGUUUCAGCAGGUUCGUUUUUUUUUUUGUGGUACUGUUGCGCCAUACUACCUGUAGUAUACUGAUUUCGCUGUAGUUAUGGAGGAAGAGAUUCAGGAACUCAGAAAUGUAAUUGCACAGUUAAAAGCUGACAAUGAGCGAUUGCAACAGGAACAGGCUGGGCCUAGUGCUCCUUCUACUUCUGCGCCACCUACUGUCCCCUCCACGUCUGUCUCUGUAUCAGAGAGACUCAUUUUUGUGCCUAGAGAUAGGAAGUGUCCAGUCUUUAGGGGUAGGGUAGGUAUAGGUUUGAGUGAGUGGAAAGAGGAGGUGCAGGCGUGUAUGAGAGCCCGGCAUCUAUCCCGGUCUGACCAGGCCUUCUUCUUGUUUGAUCACUUAGAGCAGGGGUCGGGAACCUUUUUGGCUACAAGAGCCAUGAAGACCAGAUAUUUUAAAAUGUGUAUCUGUGAGAGCCAUAUACAUUUUUUAAAACAUUGAAUGCAAUAAAAUGUGUGCAUUUUUAUGUAAGACCAACAGUUUUAGAUAUAAUGGGCUCUAAUUACGUAGACCAGGCACACUACCCCACGCCAAUGGGGUGUGGCCAGCACACUUUCGUGAGCAGCGCAGUGUCUAAUAAUAAAUCAAAUACUUGCUGCCAUUAAUGCAACUUCUGCUGCUGCAUAGUUUUGAACCGUAUUCAGUACACGUAUUUCAUUCUUUUGGCCAUCUUCGUCAAAAGGCUUGGUUCUGCAGCUUUAGCUAGGUGACUCUUUGACUAAAGGAGGAAAGUUUACAUUUACAUGUUUUUUUGACAUCGCAAUGACCGAGGUAGACUACCGCAUUACCCAGUAAUAAUCAAGUUUUGGUGUUUGACCUGGAAAAUAUCAUCAAAAAAGAUAGAUAUGGUCGCCAUAUUGCAGUAGAAAAUAGAUGGACGAAUUAAAAUGCAUAAGAAAGUUUUGAUUUUUAAUAUUAUUUUAACAGUGACUUCUGUGAUGUUUACUUUAAAAUGUUAGCAAACAUACAUUUUUAUUGUGGUAAAUGCUUGAGAGCCAGAUACAGUCAUCAAAAGAGCCCUACCUGGCUCCCGAGCCAUAGGUUCCCUACCUCUGACUUAGAGGGUGAGGCUAGAGAUGAGAUCAAGUAUCGCUCUAGCGUGGAGAGAGAGGAUCCCGAUCGCAUACUUGCCAUUUAACAGGAGCUGUACGGGUGGUCAGAUUCUUAUGUUGCACUGCAGGAGGCUUUCUUCUCUAGGAAGCAGACAGAGGGGGAGACUCUUCAAGAGUUUUCCCUCGCUUUGAUGGGUCUCAUGGAAAGGGUGAAGCAGCGUGCCCCGGCCGGUAUGUUGAACUCUGAAGUCCUCCUGAGGGACCAGUUUGUUGAGCAGGUGUUCAACAGUUCCCUGCGUCGUGAGCUGAAACAGUUGGUGCGUAGACAGCCUAAUUCCACUUUGCUUGAUGUUAGGGCAGAGGUGAUCCAGUGGGAGCGCGAAGGGUUACCUGGUGGCGCAAGAGGCCGUAGUCACUCCAUCCCCCUAAUGUUUGGUGUUCAGUAUGGGGUUCAUGGUGGUCCUCAGGUGUCUGUCCCCUCGUCUUCCGUAUCAGAGAUGAGUGAGAUGAAAGAAAUGCUAAACCGUCAGCAAGAGCAGCUCAAUCAGCUCACUGAGAGCCUUGCUCGGCUGCAGAAUCCCCAGCAGUACAACCGCCCACCGCGUACUGGCCCCAUAGUGUGCUUGCGCUGUAAUCAGCCUGGUCAUAUUGCCCGACAUUGUGAUGGAGCGCGUGUUUCUUCCCGCUCACAGGUCCCCUCCCGACCCCCUCCUACCCCUGGUAGGCAUUCCCACAACGCUCCGGUGUCGGAAAACUAGUGCCCACCGAACUGCGGAGCCACAGUUUGGGUGGGGCCGCCACUGGCUCACAGGAGGUUUCAGGUAGCUUUGAGUCUUCUAAGCUGAUUUCAUCUUGUCCCCAUUUAGAUGUGGACAUGGGUGGAGUUAAGGUUCCCUGUUUGGUAGACACGGGUUCCAUGGUCACCACGAUUUCUGAGGGCUUUUUCCGCCAGUAUUUCGAGCCGUGGGGUCAGGAGCGCCUGCGGUCGUGUCACUGGUUGGAGCUCAAGGCUGCUAAUGGUUUGGCUAUCCCCUAUCUGGGCUACCUAGAGCUUGAGGUGGAGCUUUGUGGUAAGCUGAUGCCCCACUGUGGAGUGUUGGUGGUAAAGGACCCCCCUGAUGGUGCACCUGCCCGGGUGCCUGGUGUUUUAGGGAUGAAUGUGAUGCGCAAGUGUUACCACGAGCUUUUUGUGCAACAUGGCGCUACUUUGUUUUCGCAGCCUUGUGUUUUGGAGGCCCCCAGGCCUGUUAUGCAGGCCCUACAGCAGUGCCGCGUUGACAGCACUCGGACCCCUCGUGACGUUCCAGGACAAGUAAAGAUCAGAGAUUGGAGAGCUUGGAGACAAAGCAGCGGUAAUUCUCAGACGAUCCUUGUGACAGUCCUGGUGAGACUCUGUUUCAGCAGCCUUGUGUUUUGGAGGCCCCCAGGCCUGUUAUGCAGGCCCUACAGCAGUGCCGCGUUGACAGCACUCGGACCCCUCGUGACGUUCCAGGACAAGUAAAGA